ACAGCAUCCUGCUCAACCGCAAACGGUCGUUGCGAGUGCAGGUGGCCAGGUGCAAGAGCCGCAGAAGAGCUGACUCGGUGGCAGCAGCUGCGCUUUUGGAUUAGAGAGAAUCUGACGCCUAAUGGCAGUGCAACUAAGGUCCAAGAAUGGUGGCGCCUCAACAAGGCUGAAUAUCCCCAUAUCUUCAGA
This 189-nucleotide unclassified non-coding RNA is filed under the name uncultured fungus. RNAcentral's name for it is "sequence contains ITS1". The record is from RNAcentral. Lineage: Eukaryota; Fungi.